RNAcentral lists this ribosomal RNA (301 nucleotides) under uncultured bacterium. RNAcentral describes it as "partial 16S ribosomal RNA". It matches the Rfam family "Bacterial small subunit ribosomal RNA", at positions 509 to 807 of the family's 1533-position model. The record is from RNAcentral.
CAGUCGCCGCGGUAAUACGAAGGGUGCAAGCGUUAAUCGGAAUUACUGGGCGUAAAGGGUGCGUAGGCGGUUGUUUAAGUCUGUUGUGAAAUCCCCGGGCUCAACCUGGGAAUGGCAAUGGAAACUGGACGGCUAGAGUGUGUCAGAGGAUGGUGGAAUUUCCGGUGUAGCAGUGAAAUGCGUAGAGAUCGGAAGGAACAUCUGUGGCGAAGGCGACUAUCUGGGCCAACACUGACACUGAGGCACGAAAGCGUGGGGAGCAAACAGGAUUAGAUACCCCGGUAGUCCCUGUCUCUUAUAC